Long non-coding RNA from Amborella trichopoda, 436 nucleotides. RefSeq lists it as uncharacterized. NCBI's taxonomy places the organism in Eukaryota, Viridiplantae, Streptophyta, Magnoliopsida, Amborellales, Amborellaceae. The record is from RefSeq and is a predicted model, not a curated record.
CGGACAUUCAACCUUUAUGCGUUUGAAAACUUGUGAAAGUCGAAACAUCACUUUAGCCCUUGCACUGUUCCUCUUAAGGAAAGUGCCUGCCUAUAGCGGGGGUGUGGAAGUUUUCGGCACUACCCCUUGUACUGUUCCUCUUAAGGAAGGUGGCUGCCCAUGGAGUAGGGGUGUGGAAGUCUUAAGCCGCUGAGCUCUCUCUUCCCAGCUAUGCACAACCACUCUCCUUCUCAACGAAACCACUGUUCACGGCCUUGUGUUGAAGCUAGGACCCAACAAGAAUCAUCACUGACUGAUGCUGAGGGAUUGGACAGCGAGACCAUGACUGAUACUGACGGAUUGAACGGCCAGACCAUGCCAUCAAAGGCCUGUGGCUUGUGGCUUGGUAUAGGGAAAAAAGAACUCACAAAAAAAAGGCAAAGAAAAAGAUAAGUCA